RNAcentral lists this long non-coding RNA (361 nucleotides) under Homo sapiens (human). RNAcentral describes it as "non-protein coding LINC02002:11". Lineage: Eukaryota; Metazoa; Chordata; Mammalia; Primates; Hominidae. The record is from RNAcentral.
GGGAACAUACUUUUUAUAUAACUUAUGAAUGGACAUUUCAGAGCCCAUUGAAGCCUAUACUGAAAAUCCAAAUAUCCUGCGAUAAAAACUAGGAGUAAGCUAUCUGUGAAAAUGCUUUGCGAGGUUUGGAUUAAUCUCACAGAUUUAAGCUGUUGCUUUGAUUUAGCAGCAGGUUGGAAACCCUCUUUUUCUACAAUCUACUAGGGUACUAUUCGGACCAAAUUGAGGCCUAUACUGAAAAACUGAUUAUCCCGUGAUAAAAACUAGAAAAAAGCUGUCAGUAAAAAUGCUGUGCAAUAUGUGGAUUCAUGUCACAAAUUUAAACCUCUGCAUUUAUUCAGCAAGUUUGGAAUACCUUUUU